UACAGAGGUGGCAAGCGUUGUUCGGAAUUACUGGGCGUAAAGGGCGCGUAGGCGGCUUUCUAAGUCAGACGUGAAAUCCCCCGGCUUAACCUGGGAACUGCGUCUGAUACUGGGAGGCUUGAAUGCGGGAGAGGGAUGUAGAAUUCCAGGUGUAGCGGUGAAAUGCGUAGAUAUCUGGAGGAACACCGGUGGCGAAGGCGACAUCCUGGACCGGUAUUGACGCUGAGGCGCGAAAGCCAGGGGAGCAAACGGG
This 253-nucleotide ribosomal RNA is filed under the name uncultured bacterium. Its description in RNAcentral is "partial 16S ribosomal RNA". It matches the Rfam family "Bacterial small subunit ribosomal RNA", at positions 524 to 776 of the family's 1533-position model. The record is from RNAcentral.